Molecule: ribosomal RNA, 215 nt
Filed under: Glomeromycotina sp.
Lineage: Eukaryota; Fungi; Glomeromycota
Description: partial small subunit ribosomal RNA
Rfam family: Eukaryotic small subunit ribosomal RNA (bases 39-215)
Source: RNAcentral
GGUCAGUAGGUUGGUCGUGCCACCGGUACGUACUGGUCUCACUAAUUCCUCCUUCCUGAAGAACCGUAAUGCCAUUAAUUUGGUGUUGCGGGGAAACAGGACUGUUACUUUGAAAAAAUUAGAGUGUUUAAAGCAAGCUAACGCUUGAAUGCAUUAGCAUGGAAUAAUGAAAUAGGACGAUCGAUCCUAUUUUGUUGGUUUCUAGGAUUGACGUA